GAGAGAGGCUCGCCAGCAGCGAACACUGCUAAUAUUCGUCACCUCGGUUAAACCCCGGGGCUCACUC
Molecule: transfer RNA, 67 nt
Filed under: Atrobucca nibe (blackmouth croaker)
Lineage: Eukaryota; Metazoa; Chordata; Actinopteri; Sciaenidae
Description: tRNA-Ser
Source: RNAcentral